GACGAACGCUGGCGGCGUGCUUAACACAUGCAAGUCGAACGGAAAGGCCCCUUUGGGGGUACUCGAGUGGCGAACGGGUGAGUAACACGUGAGUAACCUGCCCUUGACUUCGGGAUAACUUCAGGAAACUGGGGCUAAUACCGGAUAGGAAUCCUUGCUGCAUGGUGGGGGUUGGAAAGCUUCGGCGGUUUUGGAUGGACUCGCGGCUUAUCAGCUUGUUGGUGGGGUAGUGGCUUACCAAGGCUUUGACGGGUAGCCGGCCUGAGAGGGCGACCGGCCACAUUGGGACUGAGAUACGGCCCGGACUCCUACGGGAGGCAGCAGUGGGGAAUAUUGCACAAUGGGCGGAAGCCUGAUGCAGCAACGCCGCGUGCGGGAUGACGGCCUUCGGGUUGUAAACCGCUUUCAGCAGGGGCGAAGCUUGUGGUGACGGUACCUGCAGAAGAAGCACCGGCUAACUACGUG
RNAcentral lists this ribosomal RNA (465 nucleotides) under uncultured bacterium. RNAcentral describes it as "partial 16S ribosomal RNA". It matches the Rfam family "Bacterial small subunit ribosomal RNA", at positions 28 to 507 of the family's 1533-position model. The record is from RNAcentral.